RNAcentral lists this ribosomal RNA (430 nucleotides) under uncultured bacterium. RNAcentral's name for it is "bacterial SSU rRNA". It matches the Rfam family "Bacterial small subunit ribosomal RNA", at positions 355 to 776 of the family's 1533-position model. The record is from RNAcentral.
UGGGGAAUUGUUCGCAAUGGGCGCAAGCCUGACGACGCAACGCCGCGUGGAGGAUGAAGACCUUCGGGUCGUAAACUCCUUUCGAUCGAGACGAACGACCUCCGGGUGAACAAUCCGGAGGAGUGACGGUACCGAGAGAAGAAGCCCCGGCUAACUCCGUGCCAGCAGCCGCGGUAAUACGGGGGGGGCAAGCGUUGUUCGGAAUUACUGGGCGUAAAGGGCUCGUAGGCGGCCAACUAAGUCAGACGUGAAAUCCCUCGGCUUAACCGGGGAACUGCGUCUGAUACUGGAUGGCUUGAGAUCGGGAGAGGGAUGCGGAAUUCCAGGUGUAGCGGUGAAAUGCGUAGAUAUCUGGAGGAACACCGGUGGCGAAGGCGACAUCCUGGACCGACACUGACGCUGAGGAGCGAAAGCCAGGGGAGCAAACGGG